Podarcis lilfordi (Lilford's wall lizard) is the source of this 70-nucleotide non-coding RNA. The record is from the annotation of a GenBank genome assembly. NCBI's taxonomy places the organism in Eukaryota, Metazoa, Chordata, Lepidosauria, Squamata, Lacertidae.
GGGUAGCUUAUUUGGUUAGGGCACGGUGCUGAUAACGACAAGGUUGCAGGUUUGAUCCCCGCAUGGGACA